CUUGAUGGAGCCGAGCAGCAGUGGCCGGUCCACGGGCCGGUCCUGCCCGUACGUCGCCAGCAGGGCCUGGGCCUC
This 75-nucleotide antisense RNA is filed under the name Streptomyces albidoflavus. RNAcentral describes it as "ASpks TB sRNA". It matches the Rfam family "ASpks TB sRNA". Lineage: Bacteria; Bacillati; Actinomycetota; Actinomycetes; Kitasatosporales; Streptomycetaceae. The record is from RNAcentral.